CCCGCUGAACUUAAGCAUAUCAAUAAGCGCAGGAAAAGAAAGCAACAGCGAGUCCCAUAGUAAUGGCGAAUGAAGGGGGAAGAGUCCAGAAUUGAAAUUGCACGCAAGUGCGAGUUGUAUGGCAUUAAGCGAGAAAGCACGAGUCUGCUGGAAGGCAGCACCGCCGCAGGUGACAGUCCUGGAGCUGAUCGCGAAGCCGUGGAGAGUAGGGUUGUUUGGGAAUGCAGCCCGAAGGGGUGGUACUUGGCACCCAAGACUAAGUAUAUCGGGAGAUCGAUAGUGGACAAGUAGCGUGAGCGAAAGAUGAAAAGCAGUGCGGAAGCACGGUUAGCGAAAGUGAAACUGCCUUUGGGAAGGGGUGGUCAGCGCGAAUUUAGAGGCAGAGUGCGGAGAAUACAUGUGCCGUUCGCGGUGUGUGGGAUACGCAUGGAAGCCGUAGCUGACGACCCGCCCGUCUUGAAACACGG
Molecule: ribosomal RNA, 467 nt
Filed under: uncultured fungus
Lineage: Eukaryota; Fungi
Description: eukaryotic LSU rRNA
Rfam family: Eukaryotic large subunit ribosomal RNA
Source: RNAcentral